UUACAAUUAAAAAGUCUCUUAACUGUGGG
This 29-nucleotide non-coding RNA is filed under the name Mus musculus (house mouse). The record is from RNAcentral. Lineage: Eukaryota; Metazoa; Chordata; Mammalia; Rodentia; Muridae.